ACGAGUAUCCCUUUACUUGUAUAUGGUUUUAGACCUUUACUGUGAGAAAAUUAGAGUGUUCAAAGCAGGCAUUUGCUUGAAUAUAUUAGCAUGGAAUAAUCAUGUAUGAUUUUCAUGAUGUAUUUGAUUGGUUUGGUUCAUGAGAAUAAGAUUAAAAGGGACAGUUGGGGGUAUUCAUAUUCAAUAGUCAGAGGUGAAAUUCUCGGAUUUAUGGAAGAUGAACAAGUGCGAAAGCAUUUACCAAGGAUGUUUUCAUUAAUCAAGAACGAAAGUUAGGGGAUCGAAGAGGAUUAGAUACCCUCGUAGUCUUAACUAUAAACGAUACCGACUAGAGGUUAGUGAAGGUCAUUGUGUCUUGACUAGUAUCUUAUGAGAAAUCAAAGUCUUUGGGUUCCGGGGGGAGUAUGGUCGC
This 412-nucleotide ribosomal RNA is filed under the name Blastocystis sp. subtype 3. RNAcentral's name for it is "SSU rRNA". It matches the Rfam family "Eukaryotic small subunit ribosomal RNA", at positions 716 to 1132 of the family's 1831-position model. Lineage: Eukaryota; Bigyra; Opalinata; Blastocystidae. The record is from RNAcentral.